AACGAACGCUGGCGGCAGGCUUAACACAUGCAAGUCGAACGCUCGUAGCAAUACGGGAGUGGCAGACGGGUGAGUAACGCGUGGGAACAUACCCUUUGGUUCGGAAUAACUGAGAGAAAUUUCAGCUAAUACCGGAUGUGCCCUUCGGGGGAAAGAUUUAUCGCCAAAGGAUUGGCCCGCGUCUGAUUAGCUAGUUGGUGAGGUAACGGCUCACCAAGGCGACGAUCAGUAGCUGGUCUGAGAGGAUGAUCAGCCACACUGGGACUGAGACACGGCCCAGACUCCUACGGGAGGCAGCAGUGGGGAAUAUUGGACAAUGGGGGCAACCCUGAUCCAGCCAUGCCGCGUGAGUGAUGAAGGCCUUAGGGUUGUAAAGCUCUUUCGUCAGGGAAGAUAAUGACGGUACCUGAAGAAGAAGCCCCGGCUAACUUCGUGCCAGCAGCCGCGGUAAUACGAAGGGGGCUAGCGUUGUU
This 473-nucleotide ribosomal RNA is filed under the name uncultured bacterium. Its description in RNAcentral is "bacterial SSU rRNA". It matches the Rfam family "Bacterial small subunit ribosomal RNA", at positions 28 to 545 of the family's 1533-position model. The record is from RNAcentral.